Molecule: ribosomal RNA, 361 nt
Filed under: Lamproderma gulielmae
Lineage: Eukaryota; Evosea; Eumycetozoa; Stemonitida; Stemonitidae
Description: bacterial SSU rRNA
Rfam family: Eukaryotic small subunit ribosomal RNA
Source: RNAcentral
UCUGAAUCUGCGAACGGCUCCGCAAACCAGUUGUAAACUACAGCAAGCAAGCACGGGAGACCGGCCUUCACGGGUUGGUCUCUCGGGCGAUACGGAUAACCCUGGUAAUUCUGAGGCUAAUACGAGAACGUAACUCUUGGUUGACCGAGCCCUCGCCUUCGGGUGGGGAUACUUGGGAUGCUGGGAAGCGUGCAAGUACUAAUGCGAAUGAAAAACUGGGAAUAGGCGCACGCUUGGACCGCGCUACAAAGGAUCGGGACUCGGUAAUCCCUUCGGGGUGCGCCUUGGCCUGGCCCCAGCGGCUCUUGCGGUGUGCUUCUGACCUAUCAACUAGACGGCAGCGUAACGGACAUGCUAUGGU